AUUGAACGCUGGCGGCAGGCCUAACACAUGCAAGUCGAACGGUAACAGGAAGCAGCUUGCUGCUUCGCUGACGAGUGGCGGACGGGUGAGUAAUGUCUGGGAAGCUGCCUGAUGGAGGGGGAUAACUACUGGAAACGGUAGCUAAUACCGCAUAAUGUCGCAAGACCAAAGAGGGGGACCUUCGGGCCUCUUGCCAUCGGAUGUGCCCAGAUGGGAUUAGCUGGUUGGUGGGGUAACGGCUCACCAAGGCGACGAUCCCUAGCUGGUCUGAGAGGAUGACCAGCCACACGGGGACUGAGACACGGUCCAGACUCCUACGGGAGGCAGCAGUGGGGAAUAUUGCACAAUGGGCGCAAGCCUGAUGCAGCCAUGCCGCGUGUAUGAAGAAGGCCUUCGGGUUGUAAAGUACUUUCAGCGGGGAGGAAGGGAGUAAAGUUAAUACCUUUGCUCAUUGACGUUACCCGCAGAAGAAGCACCGGCUAACUCCGU
Molecule: ribosomal RNA, 489 nt
Filed under: uncultured bacterium
Lineage: Bacteria
Description: partial 16S ribosomal RNA
Rfam family: Bacterial small subunit ribosomal RNA
Source: RNAcentral